GAUGAACGCUGGUGGCGUGCCUAAUACAUGCAAGUCGAGCGAACAGAUAAGGAGCUUGCUCCUUUGACGUUAGCGGCGGACGGGUGAGUAACACGUGGGUAACCUACCUAUAGGACUGGGAUAACUUCGGGAAACCGGAGCUAAUACCGGAUAACAUUUGGAACCGCAUGGUUCUAAAGUGAAAGAUGGUUUUGCUAUCACUUAUAGAUGGACCCGCGCCGUAUUAGCUAGUUGGUAAGGUAACGGCUUACCAAGGCGACGAUACGUAGCCGACCUGAGAGGGUGAUCGGCCACACUGGAACUGAGACACGGUCCAGACUCCUACGGGAGGCAGCAGUAGGGAAUCUUCCGCAAUGGGCGAAAGCCUGACGGAGCAACGCCGCGUGAGUGAUGAAGGGUUUCGGCUCGUAAAACUCUGUUAUUAGGGAAGAACAAAUGUGUAAGUAACUGUGCACGUCUUGACGGUACCUAAUCAGAAAGCCACGGCUAACUACGUG
Molecule: ribosomal RNA, 497 nt
Filed under: uncultured bacterium
Lineage: Bacteria
Description: partial 16S ribosomal RNA
Rfam family: Bacterial small subunit ribosomal RNA
Source: RNAcentral